This 1312-nucleotide long non-coding RNA is filed under the name Anas platyrhynchos platyrhynchos (common mallard). RNAcentral describes it as "lncRNA (ENSAPLG00000030712.1)". Lineage: Eukaryota; Metazoa; Chordata; Aves; Anseriformes; Anatidae. The record is from RNAcentral.
AAUAGAAAGUGUAGUAGGUGGCCUUAUACAUAUAUUUAACAUCUAAUUGGGGAUUCACUGGCUUUAGUUGGAUUCCACAGUCAGGAACUCUCCAAAGUGCCUUGCAGUGACCAGACUCUGCCCAGCUCUGACUGUGCAGUGCUGAAAAAGUGUUUCCUUUUCCUGCUUCUCCCCUCCCUUGGUAAAAAAUAUGGUGGAGAUGAUCUGUGAUAGAGCUGAUCCUUCACUCAGGUAGUAAAUUAAUACUAUGGAUCCUGAAAGGAACUUAUCAGAAGUCAGAUGUGGGUGUUUUGUAUGUCUGGGCACUGAUCUGCCCUAGCUUGGACAUCAGAUGUAGAUUUAGGGACGUGGCUUGAGGCACAUUGCUCAAAAUGUGAAUAUCAAGGGGAAUUUUUUUCUCACUCACUACUUGAAGGGCUCAACCAUUCCUUAGACAGUAAAAAUAUACAUACACUGCUGCAAUAUUACUCAAAACAGUGAAUGAAAUAGCAGUCUUGUUUUUCUUGUAGCGAAAGAAAGUACAUGUAAAAUUUGGCACCCGCAGUAAGAGCUGAACAAUGAAGUAAACGUACCCAUGCAUGAAGCAGAGCAUUUUUAGCUCAUGGCUUGCUUCAGCUGACGUACAGUUGAUGUCUCUAUUUGACAUGGCCUUCAGGAAGGAUUUCUUUAAUUCAUUUAUAGACCUUGAAGUGUAAAAUUGAUCUCUUCUGGCUGUUUCUGAUACUUCUUAGCAAACAAAUGCUCCCUCCCCCAGGAAAGGCCUUUAUGUACUUAGAUUAAUGAUAUGUAGAGUAACAGGAGCUCUUCAGUCAGCAGUCUAAAGGAUAAGGCUUGAGCUAUGACUGUUUCCUUGCUUAUUAGGAACAGUGUGAGUGGCGUGUCUAAGCAGCAGGAAAACACUAGACAGCAAGAUAAUUCCACAAGGAGAGAGGAGAAAAGGACAGCCUCUCAACGUGGCAGCAAUGGCACCAAAAGCUGUCACAACCUGUCUGAGCAGCACGUAACUGCAAAUACUUCCAUGAAAGCACAUGCAGAAACAACAAGCCUCCGAAAGCCCUUCAAUGGAAAGUAAACUGGAACAUGACUGGCCUUGGAUGUGGCAUUUUUAAUAUUUAUGCGGAUUUUUCUUGAGGAAAAACUGUAAUGUACGGAAUUCAGCUCUUAAUGAGAUCCUCAGAAGGCUCUCACUACUAGAAAAGCCCUUCCUAAAGUCUGGUGCCUGUUCUCAGUCUGUUAUGCAAAACCAGGCUCUCUGAUGUGAUCUGGCACUUGGCAGGCAAAAUUCUUCUGCAAAAUGUGUGAAUUGCAAAAA